RNAcentral lists this ribosomal RNA (253 nucleotides) under uncultured bacterium. Its description in RNAcentral is "partial 16S ribosomal RNA". It matches the Rfam family "Bacterial small subunit ribosomal RNA", at positions 524 to 776 of the family's 1533-position model. The record is from RNAcentral.
UACGGAGGGUGCAAGCGUUAAUCGGAAUUACUGGGCGUAAAGCGCACGUAGGUGGUUUGGUAAGUCGAGUGUGAAAUCCCCGGGCUCAACCUGGGCACUGCAUUCGAGACUGCCAAGCUAGAGUCUGGUAGAGGGUAGUGGAAUUCCCGGUGUAGCGGUGAAAUGCGUAGAUAUCGGGAGGAACAUCAGUGGCGAAGGCGGCUACCUGGACUGAGACUGACACUGAGGUGCGAAAGCGUGGGGAGCAAACAGG